RNAcentral lists this long non-coding RNA (3046 nucleotides) under Homo sapiens (human). Its description in RNAcentral is "HSALNT0367267". Lineage: Eukaryota; Metazoa; Chordata; Mammalia; Primates; Hominidae. The record is from RNAcentral.
GGCCACGCUCGCCCGGCCCGCGACGCCCCCCCGCUGUCGCCUGGCCCGCGACGCACCGAGGCCUGAGGACCCGAAAGCCGGGCGCGGGGAGAUGACCGGUGGCUCGUGACGGUCCCACGGGCAAAAUCUUCCAUCGCCCGGGGCUGAGACUUGUCAAACUGCCCUCUACGGUCACCCGGAAAGUAGGAGGCUUUUUCUGCAGAGGGGAAAAAAAUCAAAAAGAGCCGUUCCAUCCCCCCUCCAAGGACUGGGUUUGAAUUGCUUUUCAUCUGCAGUGGCUGUGAUUCAGCGUCCCUCUUAGCAGCAGGCAAUGACAGAGGCAGGAGAGGGGAAAAAAAAAAAGAAAGAAAGAAAAAACACAGCAAAUGAAUCAAACGGACCAGGUAGCAGGCAAGAGUGUGGUUAUCGUUGGACCAGGAUUCAGGAUCUGACUGAGUAGCUGACUCUUAAUCCAGUUUGUGUUGAUCACCAGGAGGAUCUGGACCUCAGUAUUACCACAUCUAGAGCUAUAAUCACAUCCCUGUUAAGCCUUCCUGAGAUCACACCAAAUGUCCUUGAUGGGAAUUGUAAACAACCCUUACUUCUGGUUUCUAAUGAUAUUCCAGGAAAGGAGCCUAACUAGAGUCAGUGAUAUGCCAACUCCACCUUUGCCUUCCACCAUGUUUGGAAGCUCCCUGAGGCCUCACCAGGAGCAGAUGCUCGUCCCAUGCUUCCUAUAAGCCUGCAGAACUGGAAAAGAAAGCUGGAUAAAGUAUUUAUAGAAGAUAGAGGACCUGUGGUGGCUCAUGCCUGUAAUCCAAGGUGGAAGGAUUGCUUGAGGCCAGAAGUUCAAGACCAGUCCAAGCAACAUAGCAAGGCCCCAUCUCUACAAAAAAUGAAAAUAAAAUUAGCCGAGCGUGAUGGCUCAUGCCUGUAGUUCUAGCUUCUAGAGAGGCUGAGGCAGGAGGAUUGCUUGAGUCCAGGAGUUCAAGAUUACAGUGAGCUAUGGUCACACCACUGCACUCCAGCCUGGGUGAUGGAGUGAGACUGUCUCAAUAAAAAGACAAAAAGGUCAAGGAAGCUUUUCCUGAUCCACUAACUAAGGACAAUCAAACCCUUCAUGAUCUAGAAUCUGGAGACUGUGUCUUCUGGGAAUAGUAUCAGAGAAAGACUGCCCUUACUGCCCACAUGUAGCAAAACUUUGAGACGUUGAAUUAUGGGUCCAUAAUCUCACAACUCAGAGGGGCACCUCUAGACUCUUGGAACUGUAUAUCUAUUGGAGACUUUAAGGUAAAGCUGAACAGAGAGACGUUUUUCUCCAGAAGCAGACAGCACCAUAGUCAUGGACAGCUUUCCCAAGAUCACAGAUCAAGACUUCUCUGCCGUCAUGAGACUCAUAACCUCUUAAUUUUUUCUUGCUUAUGCUUCUGUGAACAAUAGAAUUGGAAAAGGGGUGGUCCCGCGUGCACCCAUAGGGUAUACUUUUAUUUGUGGAGGAUUUUGCUGCCAACCUUAUACAUGGGCAAACUUAUGCCUUCAUGGAUGGAAGAUAAAGGGCUAAUAUGGGUUAGAAAUUUUAAUGGUACCUUUGUUUCUCCAUAAUCAUUCAGAAACAGAACACUGGUCCACUCUUGUUAACCUACAUCAUAGGUUGAAGAGAACAUUGCCAGGAGGCCUUCAUCCUUCCAGAUGGGCACCAUUUGUUGGGUCUUUUUCCGUGGUAUGAAGAAAAUGAAGCAAUGAUUAGAAAUUGGUCCCUCGGCCGGGCACAAUGGCUCAUGCCUGUAAUCCCAUCACUUUGGCAGGCCGAGGCGGGUGGAUCACCUGAGGUCAGGAGUUUGAGACCAGCCUGACCAAUGUGGUGAAACGCCAUCUCUACUAAAAAUACAAAAAUUAGCUGGGUGUGAUGGUGCACACCUGUAAUCCAGCUACUCGGGAGGCUGAGACAGGAGAAUUGCUUGAACCUGGGAGGCAGAGGUUGCAGUGAGCCAAGAUCACCCCACUGCAUUCCAGGUUGGGCAACAGAGCAAGACUCUGUCUCAAAAAAAAAAGAAGAAAGAAAGAAAUUGAUCCCUCAUAAUAGGCUGUAUAGCAGAUUCUACUGCAAAGGCUAUGGUUGCACAACAGACUUCUUUGAAUUUGCUUGCUAAACUUUUACUGGAUAAUACUGGGAUUACAGGUGUGAGCCACUGUGCCCAGCCUCUCCUGUUUAACUGUAUUCAUUCUAAUGUUUACUUACUUCUUUAAUUUGUAAAAUUGGGUCACUUAGAGUUUUUUUAGCCUAUCUUGCCAUUUAGCCACUGUUACUGAUAAUUUGGAUGGAAAAGAAAAAUAAAUUAUAUCACCUCUCAUCUUCAGUGUAUAUAUGUGUUAACUUAGUAAAUAUAGUAUUCUUUCUCGUUCCUAAUGAAAAUUUAGUUUACGUACUGAAACACUGCAAACUUUUAUAAAUAUUGUGAUGUAUUUGACCAAUACAAAGGAUCUUUUUAGAAACAGCAAACAGUUCUCAGAUUAUAGGAAUUACUCAUUUAAUGAUAGUUUCUUCUUAAAAAAAAAAAAGAAAAAUGUUUAGUUACCGAAUCAUAAACAACCCCUUAAAAGACACUCAGAUAAUCUCAUGGGUCAGGAAGAUGAUGAUCAGUAUAUUUGGUUAAUAAAAUAUAGCAUAGAAAGCAUAAACCAUAAAUGGAAAAUAUAACAGAUUGUACCAAAGAGAAUACAUUGAAAUACAUUAAGAAAUCGGAUUUAAACUAUGAUUGGAUCCUUCUUUAGGUGGAAGUUAUUUGAGAGAAUAAUUCCAUGAAAAUUAAAAAUUCAUGAUUCUUUCAUUGUAGGCUAGAAAAAUGGAUUUAGUCAGCUGAGAUUAAGUAUGGGGGACUCUACAAGAACCUAUGCUAGGAUAAGAAUAUUGGAGGAAAAACAGUGGAUGAGGUACCAGAUGUUAUGGCAUUCCAUCUUUGUAAAUACAUGCAAUAAAAUCUGGUCUAUCUAGCUUUCUUUCAACCUAAAUGCCACUCACCAAUCUCACUACAUUUCUGCAGUACUGUAAUUGAGGUUUAUAAUGAUG